This 254-nucleotide ribosomal RNA is filed under the name uncultured bacterium. RNAcentral's name for it is "partial 16S ribosomal RNA". It matches the Rfam family "Bacterial small subunit ribosomal RNA", at positions 524 to 776 of the family's 1533-position model. The record is from RNAcentral.
UACGUAGGGUGCGAGCGUUGUCCGGAAUUAUUGGGCGUAAAGGGCUCGUAGGCGGUUUGUCGCGUCGGGAGUGAAAACACCGGGCUUAACUCGGUGCUUGCUUUCGAUACGGGCAGACUAGAGGCAUGCAGGGGGAGAACGGAAUUCCUGGUGUAGCGGUGAAAUGCGCAGAUAUCAGGAGGAACACCGGUGGCGAAGGCGGGUCUCUGGGCAAUAACUGACGCUGAGGCGCGAAAGCGUGGGGAGCAAACAGG